CGCUCCUCGGAGUCCCCCCGCGCCCCGGAGUCCACCCGCGCCCCGGAGUCCACCCGCGCAGGUCCACUUCUCCAUCCCUGCUCUCGACCUCCGCCCCUGCGGUGGGGGAAGUUCCUGGGGCGGUGGCUGGGACCAGGCCGGGUUUUAGGCGGGCGCAGAUUUCCGGGCUAACUUUCCUCGCCGUCUCAGCGCGGGAAGGGGGAAAUGGGAAACCCGGGCCAGAGCAGCGGAGCUUCCCAGCCGCACACUUCCUCCCUCCAGCCGUUUGUCUCGGCAGGGGAGGGCCCAGGCAGCCAAGCCGGCAGGCCCACUGGUUAUCCGACCUUGUGCUCUGGCCGUGGGUGGAGACCUUACAUCCAGCUCAGAGCGCCUCCUCCCAUCCCCUGUGUCCUCUAGGCCUCCCCAGACUUUGCCUUUUAGCCUUCCAGUGAAACAAGUUCUGUAUCCAAGAUAUACAAUUAAGUGGACAAAGCAGAUUGCAGAAAGUCUUUUCGUAGCUCACAAGGGGACAUCAAAGAUGACAAAGAGGAGUGGAAGAAGACAGAGAGAAUCAAUGUGAGGAGCCUGGAACAGGGCUCUGAAUUGUCUUCCCACAGUGAAAUCACUUGUCUAUUGCUGAGCCAAGAAUUUGACUCUGAGCAUCUAGGAUGAGAAAGAAGAACUGGCACCUACGCCAUCUCUGCCCCUCGGGACUGACUAUUUUGGCCCAGUUUCCUCAACAAUGAAAUGGGACUAAUUAUCCCAGGUCACACUUCUCUCUGGGCUUACCCUGGGAAUCAGAUGAUUGAGCUUUGGAUCUCACUCUGUUGCCCAGGCUGGAAUGCAGUGAUACGAUCAUGACUCACUGCAGCCUCAAACUCCUGGGUUCAAGUAACCCUCCCACCUCAGCUUUCUGAGUAACUGGGACUACAGUCUUCUAGUAAAAUUGAUGCUCCAAGAAGAUACACAACGUUGACCAUGUGGAUUCAGAUAUCUCCCGCUUGGAUCUCAGCCUGGAUCUUGUUGUUUGAGAAGCAUAGAUUAGCUACAGAAUGCCAUGUCAUACAUCCAAUAAAAUUCAACUCUGCAAGCAUGAGAGAGAAGAGGAAGGAAAAGAGAGAAUCUGAAGUAGUUGGAUCACUAGAGGGCAAUAUCGGCCAAGAGAAAGAAGAAUUCUUCACCACCGUUUCUAGGACUGGUGAAGGUGCUGUGCUGGAGAGAGCAUGUGGAGAGACACCACAGAGAGUGAUGUCCAAGGAUCCUCUGCUGUUCUAGCCUCCAGAUGUUUGGUACCAAAUGGAGAGUGAGUGAGGCUUCCAACCCCACCUUUGAGCCACCCCAGCUGAUCCCAGUAGAGCAGAGAUGAGCUGUCCCCACCAAGUCUUGCCCAGAUUGCAGAUCUGUGAACAAAUAAGAAUUUUUGCUUGAAGCCUCUAUGUUUUGGGGUACUUGGUCACGUAGCCCUAGGGCUAACUGAAGUAUAGUGAGAAGUGACAAGAUUCAAGGUUGUAUAGCUGCUUAGGGGAAGAACAAAGAAAGUACACUCUCCUUGCAUUCAAAGGAUAUUUCUUCAAUUUGCUUGCAGUGUGACCUUUGGCAAGCUACUGAACCUCUCUGUGCCUCAGUUUUCUCAUCUGUAUGAUAGGGAUGAAGAUGGUAUUUCUUCAGAAGGUAGUGAUGAGGAAUAAAUAUCUCAUUCUUGGCAUGUAGGAAAAAGCUAGUAAGUAGCUGGGUUGGGGUUUCAAUUCAGGCAGUCUAACCCUAGACUCUUUACUGGUAAGCUCAGGUCCAGAACAUUCCCACCAAUCCCUGAAAAGGAGGCCAGACGGCAAUAUCCCAGGUACUCCCAUUAUUUUCCCCCAUACGGCAUGAUUCUGAGUCCUCCUUGGCCGCCCUUCUCUGUUCACUGGGCCUUGAUACAUGAUUCUCUGAACUGAAGGCCGCACCAUCACU
RNAcentral lists this long non-coding RNA (1932 nucleotides) under Homo sapiens (human). RNAcentral's name for it is "HSALNT0096839". The record is from RNAcentral. Lineage: Eukaryota; Metazoa; Chordata; Mammalia; Primates; Hominidae.